Molecule: small nucleolar RNA, 102 nt
Organism: Trifolium pratense (red clover)
Lineage: Eukaryota; Viridiplantae; Streptophyta; Magnoliopsida; Fabales; Fabaceae
Product: small nucleolar RNA R30/Z108
Exons: 1
Source: RefSeq, a predicted model, not a curated record
UGUUUUCACGAUGAGGUUACAAAGCUCCCUCUUCUGAUAUAUUAAGUUGAGGAAAAUUGCUGGCAGAAUCGAACCUAAAUAAAUCUAGCCAUCACUGAGUGA